RNAcentral lists this ribosomal RNA (496 nucleotides) under uncultured bacterium. RNAcentral's name for it is "partial 16S ribosomal RNA". It matches the Rfam family "Bacterial small subunit ribosomal RNA", at positions 29 to 507 of the family's 1533-position model. The record is from RNAcentral.
AUGCACGCUGGCGGCGUGCCUCAUCCCUGCCAGUCGCGCGGACAGACGAGGAGCUUGCUCCUCUGACGUUAGCGGCGGACGGGUGAGUAACACGUGGAUAACCUACCUAUAAGACUGGGAUAACUUCGGGAAACCGGAGCUAAUACCGGAUAAUAUAUUGAACCGCAUGGUUCAAUAGUGAAAGACGGUUUUGCUGUCACUUAUAGAUGGAUCCGCGCCGCAUUAGCUAGUUGGUAAGGUAACGGCUUACCAAGGCAACGAUGCGUAGCCGACCUGAGAGGGUGAUCGGCCACACUGGAACUGAGACACGGUCCAGACUCCUACGGGAGGCAGCAGUAGGGAAUCUUCCGCAAUGGGCGAAAGCCUGACGGAGCAACGCCGCGUGAGUGAUGAAGGUCUUCGGAUCGUAAAACUCUGUUAUUAGGGAAGAACAAAUGUGUAAGUAACUAUGCACGUCUUGACGGUACCUAAUCAGAAAGCCACGGCUAACUAUGUG